RNAcentral lists this unclassified non-coding RNA (430 nucleotides) under soil metagenome. Its description in RNAcentral is "partial contains 5.8S ribosomal RNA, internal transcribed spacer 2, and large subunit ribosomal RNA". The stretch from base 1 to 120 matches the Rfam family "5.8S ribosomal RNA", at positions 35 to 154 of the family's 154-position model. The record is from RNAcentral.
GAUGAAGAACGUAGCGAAAUGCGAUACGUAAUGUGAAUUGCAGAAUUCAGUGAAUCAUCGAAUCUUUGAACGCAUAUUGCGCUCUCUGGUAUUCCGGAGAGCAUGCUUGUUUGAGUAUCAGUAAACACCUCAACUCCCUUUUCUUUUUUGAAAUUGGAGCUGGACUUGAGUGAUCCCAACACUUUCUUCCAAGAAAGUGGCGGGUUGCUUGAAAUGCAGGUGCAGCUGAACUUUUCUCUGAGCUAUAAGCAUAUCUAUUUAGUCUGCCUAAAAAACAGAUUAUUACCUUUGCUGCAGCUAACAUAAAGGAGACUAGUUCUUGUGCUGACUGAUGCAGGAUUCACAGAGACAGCUUCGGCUGACUUUGUAAACUCGAUCUCAAAUCAAGUAAGACUACCCGCUGAACUUAAGCAUAUCAAUAAGCGGAGGA